UACGGAGGGGGCUAGCGUUGUUCGGAAUUACUGGGCGUAAAGCGCACGUAGGCGGCUUUGCAAGUUAGGUGUGAAAGCCCUGGGCUCAACCUAGGAAUUGCACUUGAUACUGUUUGGCUUGAGUUCGGGAGAGGUGAGUGGAAUUCCCAGUGUAGAGGUGAAAUUCGUAGAUAUUGGGAAGAACGCCAGUGGCGAAGGCGGCUCACUGGACCGACACUGACGCUGAGGCGCGAAAGCGUGGGGAGCAAACAGGG
This 254-nucleotide ribosomal RNA is filed under the name uncultured bacterium. RNAcentral describes it as "partial 16S ribosomal RNA". It matches the Rfam family "Bacterial small subunit ribosomal RNA", at positions 524 to 777 of the family's 1533-position model. The record is from RNAcentral.